RNAcentral lists this ribosomal RNA (430 nucleotides) under Bacillus subtilis. RNAcentral describes it as "bacterial SSU rRNA". It matches the Rfam family "Bacterial small subunit ribosomal RNA", at positions 904 to 1345 of the family's 1533-position model. Lineage: Bacteria; Bacillati; Bacillota; Bacilli; Caryophanales; Bacillaceae. The record is from RNAcentral.
AAUGAAUUGGCGCCCGCCCAAGCGGUCGGUUAUGCGGGUUAAUUAAUUGGAAGGCGAAGGACCUUCCCAAGCAGGUCUUGACAUCGAAAGACCCAGAGGAGAUAGAGUUUUUCGGAAGCAACAAACAACAGUGCAUGCAUGUUUUCAUCAGCGUCGUGAGAAGAGGGUUAAGUCCCGCAAAGAGAGCAACCCUUAUCCUAGUUACCAGCACGCAAUGGUUGGGCACUCUAGGAAGACUGCCAGUGACAACCCGGAGGAAGGUGGGGAUGACGUCAAAUCAUCAUGCCCCUUAUGACGUGGGCUACACACGUGCUACAAUUGGGAGUACAAGGAGAUGGAAACCGGGAAGGGGAACCAAUCCCAGAAACCCGACCCCAGUUCGGAUUGCAGGCUGCAACCCGCCUCAUGAAGUUGAAUCGCUAGUAAUCGC